GAGGGUGUAGCUCAGUGGUAAGAGUGUGUGCUUAGCAUGCACGAGGUCCUGGCUUCCAUCCCCAGUACCUCCA
RNAcentral lists this transfer RNA (73 nucleotides) under Camelus dromedarius (Arabian camel). It matches the Rfam family "tRNA". From Rfam's summary of the family: Transfer RNA (tRNA) molecules are approximately 80 nucleotides in length. Their secondary structure includes four short double-helical elements and three loops (D, anti-codon, and T loops). RNAcentral also lists the same sequence under 1 other name. Lineage: Eukaryota; Metazoa; Chordata; Mammalia; Artiodactyla; Camelidae. The record is from Rfam by way of RNAcentral.